AUUACAACUUUCAACAACAGGAUCUCUUGGAUUCUGGCAUCGAUGAAGAACGCAGCGAAAUGCGACUAAGUAGUGUGAAUUGCAGAAUUCAGUGAAUCAUCGAAUCUUUGAACGCACAUUGCGCCCCUUGGUAUUCCAUGGGGCAUGCCUGUUCGAGCGUCAUUUUGUACCCUCAAGCUCUGCUUGGUGUUGGGUGUUGUCCUAUUCUUUGCAAUAGGACCUCGCCUUAAAAACAAUUGGCAAGCCAGUGUUUUGGCAUUGAAGCGCAGCACAUUUUUGCAAUUCAAGCCCUAGCAACUUGCGUCCAUAACAGCGUUUUUCACACUUUUUGACCUCGGAAUCAGGUAGGGAUACCCGCUGAACUUAAGGCAUUCAAUUAAAGCGGACG
Molecule: ribosomal RNA, 388 nt
Filed under: Phaeosphaeria sp. 8 IS-2011
Lineage: Eukaryota; Fungi; Ascomycota; Dothideomycetes; Pleosporales; Phaeosphaeriaceae
Description: eukaryotic LSU rRNA
Rfam family: 5.8S ribosomal RNA (bases 6-162)
Source: RNAcentral